Molecule: transfer RNA, 88 nt
Filed under: Latilactobacillus curvatus
Lineage: Bacteria; Bacillati; Bacillota; Bacilli; Lactobacillales; Lactobacillaceae
Description: Lactobacillus curvatus tRNA-Ser
Rfam family: tRNA
About the family: Transfer RNA (tRNA) molecules are approximately 80 nucleotides in length. Their secondary structure includes four short double-helical elements and three loops (D, anti-codon, and T loops).
Source: RNAcentral
GGAGAGUUGGCAGAGUGGUAAUGCAACGGACUCGAAAUCCGUCGAACCGGCUUAUGCCGGCGCGCAGGUUCAAAUCCUGUACUCUCCU